UACGUAGGGGGCUAGCGUUAUCCGGAAUUACUGGGCGUAAAGGGUGCGUAGGAGGUCUUUCAAGCCAGAAGUGAAAGGUUACGGCUCAACCGUAGUAAGCUUUUGGAACUGUAAGACUUGAGUGCAGGAGAGGAGAGUGGAAUUCCUAGUGUAGCGGUGAAAUGCGUAGAUAUUAGGAGGAACACCAGUAGCGAAGGCGGCUCUCUGGACUGUAACUGACGCUGAGGCUCGAAAGCGUGGGGAGCAAACGGGAUUAGAUACCCUGGUAGUCCCUGAG
Molecule: ribosomal RNA, 277 nt
Filed under: uncultured prokaryote
Description: partial 16S ribosomal RNA
Rfam family: Bacterial small subunit ribosomal RNA
Source: RNAcentral